Molecule: ribosomal RNA, 333 nt
Filed under: Triticum aestivum (bread wheat)
Lineage: Eukaryota; Viridiplantae; Streptophyta; Magnoliopsida; Poales; Poaceae
Description: partial small subunit ribosomal RNA
Source: RNAcentral
AUGAUCUCCAGAAAAUCAUUUUGCGCAAAUAAUCAUGUUGUAUGUUUCUACUUACAGAGAUGCCAAAUGAUGCAGAGAGCUCAUAACUGGAAUUUGUCCUGUCAGAUUGUUCCCCACAAGCCAGCUGCAACAAAGCCUUUCUCGAAUCAGAAACCUAACUUCUCAUUUAGUUUAGCAUGCAGAUCUGACAUCAGUUGGUAUCAAGAAGCUUACACGCUCGAGAUUGCAGUCAGGUUAGCAAUGCUGUCAGAUAUGGACCCUCCAACACUGAAAUUGGUGAGGUUGCUGCAGCAGCAAAUGCACAACGCUCAUCGUCCAUUGUUGAGAGAUUGA